GUGGGGAAUUUUGGACAAUGGGCGCAAGCCUGAUCCAGCAAUGCCCCGUGUGUGAAGAAGGCCUUCGGGUUGUAAAGCACUUUUGUCCGGAAAGAAAUCCCCUGGGUUAAUACCUCGGGGGGCUGACGGUACCGGAAGAAUAAGCACCGGCUAACUACGUGCCAGCAGCCGCGGUAAUACGUAGGGUGCGAGCGUUAAUCGGAAUUACUGGGCGUAAAGCGUGCGCAGGCGGCUAUGCAAGACAGAUGUGAAAUCCCCGGUAUCAACCUGGGGACUGCAGUUGUGACUGCAUGGCUAGAGUGCGUCAGAGGGAGGUGGAAUUCCGCGUGUAGCAGUGAAAUGCGUAGAGAUGCGGAGGAACACCGAUGGCGAAGGCAGCCUCCUGGGAUGACACUGACGCUCAUGCACGAAAGCGUGGGGAGCAAACAGGAUUAGAUACCCUGGUAGUCC
This 450-nucleotide ribosomal RNA is filed under the name uncultured bacterium. RNAcentral describes it as "partial 16S ribosomal RNA". It matches the Rfam family "Bacterial small subunit ribosomal RNA", at positions 354 to 796 of the family's 1533-position model. The record is from RNAcentral.